GUUUUUGUAGUUGAAUUACAACGGUGGUUUUUCAAGUCAUUAGUCCUGGUUAGAUUCCGGGCAAAAAUU
RNAcentral lists this transfer RNA (69 nucleotides) under Lota lota (burbot). RNAcentral's name for it is "tRNA-Glu". It matches the Rfam family "tRNA". From Rfam's summary of the family: Transfer RNA (tRNA) molecules are approximately 80 nucleotides in length. Their secondary structure includes four short double-helical elements and three loops (D, anti-codon, and T loops). The record is from RNAcentral. Lineage: Eukaryota; Metazoa; Chordata; Actinopteri; Gadiformes; Lotidae.